UUCCCGGACAGGGGACUCCCAGCCCCGACCGCUGCCGCUAGCGAGCAAAGCCACCGCGUCCAUCCCGAGGGCCGCGCGGGAGACGGCGUCGGAGCUCAGCAGCAGAGGGAAGGAGGCGGCCGYACCGCCGAGGAGCGCAGCAGCGGCGUGAGCAGCCUUGCAGAACCCACGGGCGAGCCCAGGGCCUCGGAGGAGCGAAGGACAGCAGGAAGCACCGCGGGGACGGGCAGUUGCAUCCCAGAAUCACCUUGAGAACGGAGGCCGUGCCGGCUGAUAAUUCCACUGAAUUAAUGAGCGAUUUGGCGAUCGCAGUUUGCCGUUGGCUUUGACUUAAUGUGUCUUACAGCACUGUUUAGAGUUAGUCUAGCAUAUUUUAAAGGCUCCUCCACACCUCCCGCCCCCCGUUCCAGCGCAGCGAAGAAAGCGCUGCACUAGGGACGGGAGCAGCGUGGGAGCCGCCGAGGGGACGGAGCCUGGUCCCGGCCGGCUGGGCGAAGGGGAGGACGGGGAAGCCUGGCCACACCGGCGAAGCCUCCCCGCGAGGCGUCCCUUCCCCGGGAUCGUGCCACCUCCGCGGCCCUGGGGAGGCACCAGGCUGAGCGGGGGGCGGAGAGGCUGAGGCUUCCUCGCUCCCUCCUAGACACACCAUCCUCUUUCCCGGAAUCAUUUUCCAAGGCGCUUUAAACCAAGGACGUGGGACACGCUGUACGCACCUGGCCCUCGGCGCUGACAGCUUGUAUCUGUGAGCUCGCCAGCAGCCAGAUGUUCCAGGGAGGCAAGGAAGAGCAGAUGCUGCACUGCAGAGUGCUGCGGGCGCGCUGCACGGCUCACAGCACGGGCACGGCCGAGCCGCGACUGCCACCGACGAGCAGCCUCCUGCCUUAAACGGGCCGGGAGAGAGGCUGGGGGGCCGGGAGAGGCUCUGAGAUCCCGCCGGCUGCUGGGAUCCCAGGCCUGUCACAGCUUUUCCUCCAGCUGAGAGCUGGAUCCACUCACACUGGCACGGCAAUACUGCUUUGCAAACGAUCCAGGAUCUUAUGAGAGCAAGGACCAGAGAGGGAUUUUCCUCCUUCUAA
Molecule: long non-coding RNA, 1076 nt
Filed under: Dromaius novaehollandiae (emu)
Lineage: Eukaryota; Metazoa; Chordata; Aves; Casuariiformes; Dromaiidae
Description: lncRNA (ENSDNVG00000012751.1)
Source: RNAcentral